CCUACGGGCGACAGCAGUGAGGAAUAUUGGUCAAUGGCCGCAAGCCUGAACCAGCCAAGUCGCGUGAAGGAAGAAGGAUCUAUGGUUUGUAAACCUCUUUUAUAGGGGAAUAAAGGUCUCCACGUGUGGAUAUUUUCAUGUACCCUAUGACUAAGCAUCGGCUAACUCCGUGCCAGCAGCCGCGGUAAUACGGAGGAUGCGAGCGUUAUCCGGAUUUAUUGGGUUUAAAGGGGGCGGAGAUGGGUUGUUAAGUCAGUUGUGAAAGUUUGUGGCUCAACCGUAGAAUUGCAAUUGAUACUGGUAGGCUUGAGUACAGUUGAGGUAGGCGGAAUGCGUGGUGUAGCGGUGAAAUGCAUAGAUAUCACGAAGAACUCCGAUUGCGAAGGCAGCCUACUAAGCUGCGACUGACACUGAUGCUCGAAAGUGUGGGUAUCGAACAGGAUUAGAUACCCCGGUAGUC
RNAcentral lists this ribosomal RNA (460 nucleotides) under uncultured bacterium. RNAcentral's name for it is "partial 16S ribosomal RNA". It matches the Rfam family "Bacterial small subunit ribosomal RNA", at positions 338 to 795 of the family's 1533-position model. The record is from RNAcentral.